RNAcentral lists this small RNA (166 nucleotides) under Chrysemys picta bellii (western painted turtle). Its description in RNAcentral is "TUC338 (ENSCPBG00000007202.1)". The record is from RNAcentral. Lineage: Eukaryota; Metazoa; Chordata; Testudines; Emydidae.
UAGAAGUCCUAGAAAUUAAAGCCCUAUUUUAUCAUAGCACAGGUACAGGAAAGACAGUGGGAAUGCAAGCUUCCCCAGCAUGCCCCAUCAUAAUGUUUCAACCCUAACGAUGGAAAGGAUCAAGGCUAAGAGCCUAAAUGUCCCUUGCCCUGUAUCUUCAUGUACA